UUCAAAAGAGAAGGGAACUAUCUCCAAGAAGCAGCCCCCCCCCCAUUUCUUUAGUCCGCCUCUUCACCUCCCCCAUGACCCUUGGGGCUGGGUGGGGGGCAGAGCUCCUCCGUUUGGGUUGGUGACAGAUUGCACAACGGCCCUUUCCUCCUUCCAACCCCCCUUCCUUCAUCUCACACUUUUUUUUUAAACUUUUUAACCAUAUGGCGUUGUCCUCUAUUUCUCAGGGAGAACACCGAAAACAAUAACUCCUCCUCCAACAAGCAGAAUCAACUCUCUCCUCUGGAAGGGGGCAAGCCGCUCAUGUCCAGCUCAGAAGAGGAAUUCUCACCUCCCCAAAGUCCAGACCAGAACUCGGUCCUCCUGCUCCAGAGCAAUAUGGGCCAUGCCAGGAGCUCAAACUAUUCUCUU
This 411-nucleotide long non-coding RNA is filed under the name Rattus norvegicus (Norway rat). Its description in RNAcentral is "long non-coding RNA NONRATT025107". Lineage: Eukaryota; Metazoa; Chordata; Mammalia; Rodentia; Muridae. The record is from RNAcentral.